This 492-nucleotide ribosomal RNA is filed under the name uncultured bacterium. RNAcentral describes it as "partial 16S ribosomal RNA". It matches the Rfam family "Bacterial small subunit ribosomal RNA", at positions 29 to 507 of the family's 1533-position model. The record is from RNAcentral.
AUUGAACGCUGGCGGCAUGCUUUACACAUGCAAGUCGAACGGUAACAGGCCUUCGGGUGCUGACGAGUGGCGAACGGGUGAGUAAUGCAUCGGAACGUGCCCAGAGACGGGGGAUAACGCAGCGAAAGCUGUGCUAAUACCGCAUGGGAUCUGAGGAUGAAAGCGGGGGACCAGGCAGCAAUGUUUGGCCUCGCGCCUUUGGAGCGGCCGCUGUCAGAGUAGGUAGUUGGGGGGGUAAAGGCCUACCAAGCCGACGAUCUGUAGCUGGUCUGAGAGGACGACCAGCCACACUGGGACUGAGACACGGCCCAGACUCCUGCGGUAGGAAGCGGUCGGGAAUCUUGGACAAUGGGCGCGAGCCUGAUCCAGCAAUACGGCGGACGGGAAGAAGGCCUUCGGGUUGUAAACCGCUGUUGUACGUAGCGAAAAGGCUCUGGCUAAUACCUGGGGCUGAUGACGGUACCGGAAGAAUAAGCACCGGCUAACUACGUG